AGGGGGAAGAUAAGGGAAAAGACCUGUGAAUCUUUACAGCUGAGCCUAAUAACAGAACAGCUGUACUUAUUUAUUUAUUUGUUUGUUCAUUUAUUCAACAAAGGAUAUGGGAACAGGUAUAUUGGAGAGGUUGCUGGGGAGUAUUUUUCUUUCUUUUUUUUCCCCAGUGGUUUAGAUAUAGCAUAAAGAUGAAGUUUGAGUCAGGAGAUAUUUCUGAAAUAAUAAUAAUAGCUGUCUUCUAGAAAACCUGUUUCCUUCUGUGCUGAGUUUUUCCUUCAGACUAAGGAGCUUAACUGUAGGAGAGGGAAGGUGCUUUCAAAAGCAGAACUUACGCAACAUCAGGGUUUGUCACUUCUAUUCAAGAGCAAUGGGAGUUCUGGAUGUCUUAUAAAGUACGAGAGCACCUUCAGAAUUGACUACAGUGGAUGGAAGUUGCUGCUUAUGUGGUGAAUGUGAAGAACUGGCUGCUCAAAUACAUCAGAGAAGUGUGGACCCCACAAAAUACUGCUUAUGGACAUGGUCAGAGAUACCUUAUUCCCAGCCUGUAGCAAGAAGGAGAACUGCUUUUUCCCAUUUCAGGUUAGAACAUGCCUGCAACUUCAUCAUCCUGAGGCUGGACUGGGAGCAGGUCAUCAGUGGUGUGUGGGACUAAGAGCUUCUCUAAGGUGCAUUGUAAUUAACCAUAGGGGAAAAGCACUGGAGAACAAGGGUUUGAACCAGCAGGAAUAUUUCAGUUUUAUGGUGCAUUGCAGUCUAUGUUAAAGUGUCUUUCCUCAUAAACAACAAAAAUAAGGUAAAACUCGCUGUCGUAGUUUUAGGGACAGUUUUAUUGUUUGGGCAAUAAACAAAUGCUGAUCUUUCUAGUGACA
Molecule: long non-coding RNA, 869 nt
Filed under: Coturnix japonica (Japanese quail)
Lineage: Eukaryota; Metazoa; Chordata; Aves; Galliformes; Phasianidae
Description: lncRNA (ENSCJPG00005020041.1)
Source: RNAcentral